Molecule: ribosomal RNA, 105 nt
Filed under: Tupaia belangeri (northern tree shrew)
Lineage: Eukaryota; Metazoa; Chordata; Mammalia; Scandentia; Tupaiidae
Source: RNAcentral
GUCUAUAGCCAUACCACCCUGAAUGUGUCCAACCUCCUCUGGUCUUGGAAGCUAAGUAGGUUGGGCCUGGUUAGUACUGGGUCACGCCUAAGGCGGCUGGAGUCU